UCUCAGAUAGCUUAACCCAAAGCACUGGUCUUGUAAACCAAAGAUAUUUCCUUAUUCAAAGCCAUGAA
Molecule: transfer RNA, 68 nt
Filed under: Questa ersei
Lineage: Eukaryota; Metazoa; Annelida; Polychaeta; Questidae
Description: tRNA-Thr
Source: RNAcentral